RNAcentral lists this ribosomal RNA (844 nucleotides) under uncultured organism. Its description in RNAcentral is "bacterial SSU rRNA". It matches the Rfam family "Bacterial small subunit ribosomal RNA", at positions 504 to 1340 of the family's 1533-position model. The record is from RNAcentral.
CGUGCCAGCAGCCGCGGUAAGACGAAGGUGGCAAGCGUUGUUCGGUAUUACUGGGCUUAAAGCGUGUGUAGGCGGAAACUUAAGCGUUUUGUGAAAUCCCUCGGCUUAACCGAGGAAUUGCUUGACGAACUGGGUUUCUUGAGGCAAGUAGGGGUGCGCAGAACUCUUGGUGGAGCGGUGGAAUGCGUAGAUAUCAAGAGGAAUGCCGGUGGAGAAGUCGGCGCACUGGGCUUGUCCUGACGCUGAGACACGAAAGCGUGGGGAGCGAACGGGAUUAGAUACCCCGGUAGUCCACGCUGUAAACGAUGCCUACUAGGUUGUGGUGGUUCUGACGCCAGCACAGCCGAAGCCAAAGUGUUAAGUAGGCCGCCUGGGGAGUACGGUCGCAAGGCUAAAACUCAAAGGAAUUGACGGGGGCUCACACAAGCGGUGGAGCAUGUGGAUUAAUUCGAAGCAACGCGCAGAACCUUACCUGGGUUUGACAUGCAUGGAUGCCCAUCUGGAAACAGAGUAGGCUGCCUUCGGGUGAAACUUGCACAGGUGCUGCAUGGCUGUCGUCAGCUCGUGUCGUGAGAUGUCGGGUUAAGUCCUUUAACGAGCGAAACCCUUGCCGUUAGUUGCCAGCGGGUCAUACCGGGGACUCUAACGGGACUGCCGGUGUUAAACCGGAGGAAGGUGGGGAUGACGUCAAGUCAUCAUGGCCUUUAUGCCCAGGGCCUCACACGUGCUACAAUGGUCGGGACAGAGCGACGCAAGACCGCGAGGUGGAGCAAAUCGCAAAAACCCGGCCUCAGUUCGGAUUGCAGGCUGGCAACUCGCCUGCAUGAAGGUGGAAUCGCUAGUA